Long non-coding RNA from Pogoniulus pusillus (Red-fronted tinkerbird), 404 nucleotides. RefSeq lists it as uncharacterized. The record is from RefSeq and is a predicted model, not a curated record. NCBI's taxonomy places the organism in Eukaryota, Metazoa, Chordata, Aves, Piciformes, Lybiidae. The transcript has 2 exons.
CUGGUAGAUGAACUUGUCCUGGUAACAAACUCUCACAAAGGUGUACAUUUAUAUAUGUAUAUCUUCUCAUUGUUUUAAGGUUAAUGCUUUUGAAACUUAUCUUCCCACAUAAAACCUGGUUAUGCCUAAUAGAGUAUUAUUUGCAACUGUUCUGCUUUAUCUUGAACUGUGAAGUUAAAUGGAGGAGGAAGCUGAGCUGAAACAACUUAGAUUUAAAAGGUCAGCAAUUUUUUAGUUCCUUAUGAAGGCUCUGAAAUGUUUGUGGAGAUCAUCACUGCUUCGAGUGAAGAUCCAGCUUGCAUUCCAGACAUGAUCUACUUUACUGCUUCAAGUUACAUUGUCAUUUUUUUAACCAUUUCACCAGUAUGUGGAAACUAAAAUAAAAGAUGAGGAAAAUGAUGCUU